Molecule: ribosomal RNA, 2178 nt
Filed under: human gut metagenome
Description: bacterial LSU rRNA
Rfam family: Bacterial large subunit ribosomal RNA
Source: RNAcentral
UGUCCUGGACCCGAAGCGGGAUGAUCUAGCCCUGGGCAGGUUGAAGCGCGGGUAAGACCGCGUGGAGGACCGAACCCACCUGGGUUGAAAACCGGGGGGAUGACCUGGGGCUAGGGGUGAAAGGCCAAUCAAAUUCCGUGAUAGCUGGUUCUCUCCGAAAUGCAUUUAGGUGCAGCGUCGGUCGAUUGCGUCGCGGGGGUAGAGCUACCGGAUGCUUGCGGGCCCUUGUUGGGUACCAACAGCAGCCGAACUCCGAAUACCGUUGACGUGUAUUCCGGCAGUGAGUCGGCGGGGGAUAAGCUCCGUCGUCGAGAGGGAGACAGCCCAGACCGUCGUCUAAGGUCCCGAAGCGUGUGCUAAGUGGGAAAGGAUGUGGAGUCGCAUAGACAGCCAGGAGGUUGGCUCAGAAGCAGCCAUCCUUGAAAGAGUGCGUAACAGCUCACUGGUCUAGUGGUUCCGCGCCGACAAUGUAGCGGGGCUCAAGCACACCACCGAAGACGCGGCAGCAAUCUUCAUGGUUGCUGGGUAGGAGAGCGUCCUGCGAGGGGCGAAGCGGCCGGGUAACCGUGCCGUGGACUUCGUGGGAGUGAGAAUGCAGACAUGAGUAGCGAGAGACGGGUGAGGAUCCCGUCCGCUGGAUGACCAAGGGUUCCGGGGCCACGUUCGUCGUCCCCGGGUGAGUCGGGUCCUAAGGCGAGGCCGACAGGCGUAGUCGAAUGGAUGAACGGGUGGAUAUUCCCGUACCGACCAUGGACCGGCAAAACCGAGACGGUGAGUACUAACCUCCGCCUCGUGGUGGUUCCUUCCUUCGGGUUGGUAUCGCCGCGUGGUGUUGGGACUGUAGCCGCAGUAGGUCAGCGCAGGGGUGACACGGAAUGGGAGCCGGCCGCGGAGGUGGUUUUCCGUGGUCAAGCACGCAGCCAGUCAUGUAGGCAAAUCCGCAUGGCGCGCAUGGCGAGGUGUGAUGAUGGGAGCCGUUAUGGCUCGAUAUCCGGUUGUCCAGGCCGUCGAGAAAAGCCUCGGCGUGAGGGCCAUGGCCGCCCGUACCCCAAACCGACACUGGUGGUCAGGUAGAGAAUACCAAGGCGAUCGAGCGAAUCCUGGUCAAGGAACUCGGCAAAUCACUCCCGUGCCUUCGGUAUAAGGGAGACCCGCUGGGGUGAACCGGCUAGCCCGGGGAGCUUUGGUGGGUGGCACAGACCAGGGGGUAGCGACUGUUUACCAAAAACACAGGUGCAUGCGAAGGCGAAAGCCGCUGUAUAUGCACUGACGCCUGCCCGGUGCCGGAAGGUUAAGAGGAUCCGUCAAUCCCUUCGGGAUGAAGCGGUGAAUUCAAGCCCCGGUAAACGGCGGUGGUAACUAUAACCAUCCUAAGGUAGCGAAAUUCCUUGUCGGGUAAGUUCCGACCUGCACGAAUGGCGUAACGACUUCCCCACUGUCUCGACCAGGAGCUCGGCGAAAUUGCAGUACGAGUAAAGAUGCUCGUUAAGCGCAGAAGGACGAAAAGACCCCGGGACCUUUACUAUACCUUGGUAUUGGCGUUAGGCGCGGAUUGUGUAGCAUAGGCGGGAGGCUUCGAAGCGGGUGCGCCAGCAUUCGUGGAGCCGCAAGGUGAAAUACCGCUCUGUUCUCGUUUGACGUCUAACCUCGACAAGUCAUCCUUGUCAGGGACAGUGCCUGGCGGGUAGUUCAACUGGGGCGGUUGCCUCCCAAAGAGUAACGGAGGCGCUCAAAGGUCCGCUCAGCCCGGUUGGCAAUCGGGUGUCGAGUGUAAUCGCACAAGCGGGCUUGACUGCGAGGACGACGGUCCGAGCAGGGACGAAAGUCGGAGAUAGUGAUCCGGUGCCGGCGCACGGGCGCGGCAUCGCUCAACGGAUAAAAGGUACCCCGGGGAUAACAGGCUGAUCAUUCCCAAGAGUCCAUAUCGACGGGAUGGUUUGGCACCUCGAUGUCGGCUCGUCGCAUCCUGGGGCUGGAGCAGGUCCCAAGGGUUCGGCUGUUCGCCGAUUAAAGCGGCACGCGAGCUGGGUUCAGAACGUCGUGAGACAGUUUGGUCUCUAUCCUCUGCGCUCGUUGGAAUCCUGAGGAGGCCUGCCCAUAGUACGAGAGGACCUGGGUGGACGAACCUCUGGUAUGCCGGUUGUCGCGCCAGCGGCACGGCCGGUUGGCUACGUUCGG